GAGAGGUGGCAGAGUGGUUGAAUGCGGCGGUCUCGAAAACCGUUUGGCCUUUUCAGGUCACGGGGGUUCGAAUCCCCCCCUCUCC
RNAcentral lists this transfer RNA (85 nucleotides) under bovine gut metagenome. It matches the Rfam family "tRNA". Rfam says of the family: Transfer RNA (tRNA) molecules are approximately 80 nucleotides in length. Their secondary structure includes four short double-helical elements and three loops (D, anti-codon, and T loops). Further hydrogen bonds mediate the characteristic L-shaped molecular structure. tRNAs have two regions of fundamental functional importance: the anti-codon, which is responsible for specific mRNA codon recognition, and the 3' end, to which the tRNAs corresponding amino acid is attached (by aminoacyl-tRNA synthetases). tRNAs cope with the degeneracy of the genetic code in two manners: having more than one tRNA (with a specific anti-codon) for a particular amino acid; and 'wobble' base-pairing, i.e. permitting non-standard base-pairing at the 3rd anti-codon position. The record is from RNAcentral.